Molecule: ribosomal RNA, 929 nt
Filed under: Cantharellus applanatus
Lineage: Eukaryota; Fungi; Basidiomycota; Agaricomycetes; Cantharellales; Hydnaceae
Description: partial large subunit ribosomal RNA
Rfam family: Eukaryotic large subunit ribosomal RNA
Source: RNAcentral
UUACCUCAGGUCAGAGAAGACUACCCGCUGGACUUAAGCAUAUCACUAAGCGGAGGAAAAGAAACUAACUAGGAUUCCCCCAGUAACUGCGAGUGAAGAGGGAAGAGCUCAUCAUUGGAAUCUGGCAGUGUUGCACUGUCCGAGUUGUAGAUGAGGAGUAGUCCGUCUGGACUGCAUGGCGUCCAAGUACAAUAGGCCGUCAGUGGGACAUCAUAGAGGGUGACAAUCCCGUCCUUGACGCCAAUGUGCAAGUCUAUUACGAUGGCUAUCUCAGAGAGUCGAGCAGUUUGGGAUUUGCUGCUUAAACAUGGGAGGUAGAUUCCUUCUAAAGCUAAAUACAGGCGAGAGACCGAUAGAGAACAAGUACCGCAAGGGAAAGAUGAAAUAGCACUCUGUGAAGGGAGUCAAAAGGCGUGAAAUUGUUGCGAGAGAAGCGAUUCAAGUCAGCGUAGCUAGGCCCAUCAAGCGUCUUCGCUUUGGACUAGCUUUGCCAGCGGUCUUGUCCCUUGAAGAGACUUGACUUGUAAUAUGUCCAGCCUGGCGUGCACAGGCAGCCCCUUCUGGGGGCCAGUGGCAUGGCUGGUGGAAUGGCUUGCAAUCGACCCGUCUUGAAACACGGACCAAGGAGUCUAACAUGUAUGCGAGUAUAAGGGUGGCAAACCCGUAUGCGCAAUGAAAGUGAUUUUCGGUGAUUGAGAAUGGCCUGAUGACCAGACAAGCAAUAUAUGUCCCUCGUACGGCCAUUGCCCAAGUUCCGUGGUAGAUCCCACGAACAUGGAGUUGGAGCAUACAUGCUAGGACCCGAAAGAUGGUGAACUAUGCCUGGACAAAGCGAAGCCAAAGGAAACUCUGGUGGAGGCUUGUAGCGAUUCUGACGUGCAAAUCGAUCGUCUGAUCUGGGUAUAGGGGCGAAAGACUAAUCGAACCAU